This is a long non-coding RNA of Lagenorhynchus albirostris (white-beaked dolphin), 2779 nucleotides long. RefSeq lists it as uncharacterized. The record is from RefSeq and is a predicted model, not a curated record. Lineage: Eukaryota; Metazoa; Chordata; Mammalia; Artiodactyla; Delphinidae. The transcript has 3 exons.
UUUGAUAAAAGCUGGUGUUGAAAAUGGACUUUAAUAGGUUCAUUACCUGUGCACAUGGCAAAGACCUCCUUUGCCUCAAGCAAACGCAUGCGCAAGUUAGAGCGGAGCGGACCUGCAGCGCGAUCCUGGGCUAGCGAAGCGCACGUACCUCGUCCAACUGCCUGAAGGACGCUGUCCUUACGCGCGGAGGACGCCGGACCGGAGCGCGCAACGCCGCAGCCCCGCGGGACACACGGGAGACGGUUAUAGAUAACAUGACAUUUCGCCUCUGGGAUUUCACACCCUCCUACAGUCUCCUCCCACAUUGUACAGGGUUGGUCCAGUAGAAUACGGAAGUAGUGAUGGCCUGUCUCGUCUGGAAUUAAGUUACAAAAGACACAUGGCUGCAUCUUGCCUUCUCUCUCUCCCUCUCCCUCUCAUCACUUGCUCUGGGGGAAGUCAGCUGCCAUGUCGCUAGUAGCCCCAUGGAGAAGCCCAUGUGGCAAAGAAAGCCUCAUGGACACAGAUCUCCAAGCCCCAGUCAAGUGUCAGAUGACUGCAAACCCCACCACAUCUAGAUGGGAGCCCCCUGAGAGACCCCGCGUCAGAACCACCGGCUAAGCCAGUCCCAGAUUCCUGACCCUCAGAAACUGUGCAAGAUAAUAAUUUCUACUGCUUUAACCUGCUAAAUUUGGGGCUCAAUUGGUAGUACAGACAGAACACAUUUGGAUACCUUUGCAGGCGGGGUGCUGUGACAGAAACCCAAAAUGUGGGAGUGGCUUUGGCACCAGGCGGUGGGCUUUGUUGAGAGCAUCGGUAAAUGCCUGGAGCACCUUGAAGAAGCUGUGAAUUAAAGAGUCCAGGUCGUUAAAGAUUCAGGUCAGAGCUUGCAGGAAAGUGUCAGAAACUGGGGGAAGGGAUCCUGGUGAUGCUGUUGCCUGCAGUCAUGUGGACAGAGGAAAAUGCACCCGAUGAACUCGUGAUCUAGUCAAGGAGAUUUGGAGCCAAAACGUUUUCAGUGCUGCCUGCUUUCUGCUAGUUGCUUAUAGUAAGAUGCCAGAGGAGAGAGAGAAAUGAACGGAAGGGUCGUUAAGCAGAAAGGAGCUGGGACUGGAAGGUUUUCAGCCGGGCCAGAUGACAAAUUAUGCUAGAAUCAAGGAAUGGCUUCCAAGCAAAAGUCCAAAUUCAGGGCCCUGCCAGAAAACCUGUGGUCCAGAGACAGACCCUAGGCUGUGCCUGUAAAUAAUUUUUAAAAGAUUUCAGAAAGAUAUAAAGCCAUACCCCAUAGUCCUUUUGUCAGACAAAAGGCCCUCUAAGGAGAGUAAAGGUGUGCCUCCCUGCCGUGGCCCGAGUGCUUGUGAGAUUAAAGGUGUACCCCACAUGUGAGGUCACAAGAAGUCGGCAGCCUGGAGGAGGGCCCUCACCAGAACCCAGCCUUGCUGGCACCCUGGUCUCAGAAUUCCAGCCUCCAGAACUGUGAGGAAUAAGUUUCUGUUGCUUAUAAAUUCCCCAGCCUGUGGUGUUUUGUUACAGCAGCCCCAGUGGACCAAGACACUCACAGACCCUCUCAAUCAAAGGAUAAUGCUCCUCAGGGCUUCCCUGGUGGUCCAGUGGUUAGGGCUCCACGCUUCCACUGCAGGGGGCAUGGGUUCGAUCCCUGGUCAGGGAACUAAGAUCCUGCAUGCCACAAAAAAAAAAAAAAAACAGUGCUCCUAGAAGCUUCGGAUCAUUGCCCCUCUGCUGUCUGCAGAAACCCUAUCUUUGUGGAGAAGGGCUCAUCUCAAAGAGAUUUAGGGGUGUUGACUUUGCCUAAUGGAGUAGAUCCCAUGAAGAUUCACAGGAAAUCCAUAAAGUUUUUAUGAGAAUUAUAUGUACAGAAUCAUUACUAACUUGGACUGAAAGGGACAGAGCCAGUACAAAAUAAAAAGAGGUCUUUGGACCCUCAGAGUUCUACUGGCAGGAAGCAGGCUGAGAAUGUUACUCAGCUGCUAACACGUGAUACCUUUCAUGUUACAGCAUGAUACCUUUCCUUUCAUGGAAAAGGAAGGAUGACUCACAGGGAAAAACCAAGAGCCCAGAGGGCAGUCCAAAGCCUUGGAGUAUGGUUCCCAAGACUUGAGACAUAAUUAAGGAACUUAGGAUGUUUGCUUGGCUUGGAAUCUAUAUGGACCAGCAACUUCUUCACGCUCUCAUCUUCUCCCUUUUUCAGCAAGAGUUUCUAGAGUGGUUAUUCUGUCUGUCCCCUUGUAUGUUCAGUAGGAGAGGGUUUACGAACUGAAUAUUCGUGUCCCCUUAAAGUUCAUGUUGAAGCCCUAACCCCCAAUGUGAUGGUAUUUGGAGGUGGAGAUUUUGGAAGUAAUUAGGUUUAGAUGAGGCCAUGGGGGUGGGGUCCUCAUGAUGGGAUUAGUACCCUUGUAAAGAGACCAGAGAGCUAGUUCUGUCUCUCUCUCUUCCAUGUGAGGAUACAGUAAGAAGUCAGCCAAAAAGAAAAAGAAGUCAGCCAGGUCCAAGCCAGGAAGAGAGUCCUCACCAGAACACAACCAUGCAGAUCACUUGCUCUGGGAGAAGCCAGCCGCCCUCUGGAGAGGCCCACUUGCUGAGGAGCUGAGGCUGCUGGCCAAAAUCAGCAAGGAGCUCUCUUCCAACAGAGAGAAAACAAGAUGCCUGGGCCAUCUUGGACGCAGAGCCUCUGGCCCCAGUCAAGUUUCAGAUGACCGCGGUCUGGCCAGCAACUGGAUGGUAACCUCCUGAGAGACCCUGAGCCAGAGCCACCCAGCAAAGCCACUCCCAGAUUCCUGAC